Molecule: long non-coding RNA, 23537 nt
Filed under: Solanum tuberosum (potato)
Lineage: Eukaryota; Viridiplantae; Streptophyta; Magnoliopsida; Solanales; Solanaceae
Description: long non-coding RNA (STUB_LNC011622)
Source: RNAcentral
GUUUAUUUCGGUUUGAUUUUCGGUUUAACCAAAUUUAAUUAACAGUGGCCUGUGGCCUGUGGUCCAAGAUGCUGUUUCUCGAGUGCUGCACUUUCCGAACAACUUGCCCCAAUUCCGUGAAUUGUGAAUUACUGCACUACACCAAUAUAAUCAUAAAUGCAGCAUUUCACAACAUCAACACAAACAAACACAGUGGCCUAGACACCCCUAAAAAGGACAAAAAAUCAAUCUCAUCCACAAAAAUCUGCACAAAGUCAAAACUAGUAAGAAAUACAUAACACUGUAAAUUAAAAAAAAAGCUUCAGAAGUGCAGGAAUUGAAGUGGCCAAUGAGCAGUGAGCACUGACCUUCAACUUUUGAGUCGCAAGCACUGAGCAGAUGACUGAUGAGACAACAGUUGCGGGCUGCGAGCAGUCGAGCACUCAGCGAGGAGCCAGGAGCAACGGCUGGCCUGAGACGACGAGCUGAGAGAUGAGAGAUGAGAGUUAACAGACGAGCUCGGAGCCGCGGCGUAACUGAGACGAGAGUUGAGAGAUGAGAUGAGAGUUACGACUUACGUAUUAGGGAAAUCAGAUUAGGGAUUUUUCUGAUUAGAAUUUGGGCUGGGCAUGGGCUAUUGGGCUGAGAUCAGUAUUUUAAUUAAAAGUUGUGGGCUGAGAUCAGUAUUUUAAUGAAGGGGUAAAGAGUAUAUAUAUCUAAUUUUGGUUUUUUCGGUUAACCGAUUUUUUCAGCUAAAAAACCGAAAACCGAACCGAAAAACUGAAAUAUUGAAAAUCAAAACCGAAACCGACCGAAAUAACCGAAAAAUAAAAAAAUUCGGUUUCGGUCGGUUUUUUCGAUUUUAACCAUAUUAUGCCCAGCCCUAGCGAUAACCAUCUCUAUGAGCCACAUGAUGAUCCAAUGUCUUACUCACAUUGUCAUAGCCACUUUAUACCUUAUCGGAAUAUCAAAUGCAACUUUAACUUAUGGAUUCACUAAAAGUCUUUUUGAGGAAGAUAGGGAGUUGCCCGACUUACGGUACGAUCCUAUUUAUGCUGACAAUACUCAAAACAUGUCAAUUUCAUUUUUCAAUUGUAAAUCACUGAAAGUAAAAUAACCAAAAGAAUAUCAUUAUAAAAAAAUGAGAACUUCAUCUUAUGUUAAAUCAAAAUUUGAAUAUAAAUUACAACUUGACUAAUUGAUAUGAAAGAAAAAGGUUAUUGCCUAAACAAACUUGGCAUUGUAGAGUUUGGCACCUAAUAUUGCAAUUAACAGAGCAACACCAAAAUAGAGUUUGAUACCAACUGAGGUAACAAAAAAUGAAACCAAAAAAAAAAAAAGGUAACAAAAACACAAUAACACCAAAAAACAAAAGCAAAGUUAACUAUUUCAUGAAACAUGGGUCUUUCUAUUAGAAUUAUUUUGGCUUUGAUUAAUAGUAGCAAUUGCAAUCCUCGUUUGUAUUCUUCAAGUUUAUUGCUGAUAAUGGUUGAUUUUCCCCUUCACUUUACUCCUAAAUGUGGUUGGUCGCUAAUAUCUUCAAUAACUUCAUCAAACCUCUCUAAAACUCGUAUACCAAUGACCAUUUUACUUGACAUUAUAAUUUGUGGGUUGCACAAAUAAAUCGCAAAAAUUAUAAAAAUUCAUACAUGAAUCCAAACCGUUUGGCCAUGACAAAUUUUCACUUAUUUUCGAAAAAUUAUUUCACAUCUUUCAAUAAUAAUAUUUGGCCAUGAAAAUUUCAAAUACAACUCAAGUUUUAUAGUUAGAAUUCAAAAAAACACCAAAAAUCUUGUUUUUACUAUUUUUUAUUUUUAAUAUAUUAUGUUUUAAAUUUUUUUUUCAUAAAAUAACUUCUUUUAAAUUAUAUUCCAUGUUCAAAUCAAAUAAUAUUUUUUUAUAUAUAUUUAAAAUAUAUCUAUUUUCAAAAUAUUAACUACAAAACUAUGACUAAACACAAGUUCAUCUCUAACUUCAAUUUUAAAAUUUCAAAUAAAAUGGAUUUUCUUAAAAAAAUUCAUAAGCAAACGCUAAAAAAUUUCUAAAAAAAGAAAAGAAUAAAGAGGAGGCCCAACUACAAAUGUAGAAUAAAGUUGGGCCUAAUUAGUGCAUUGGAAUAGGUCAACUUAAUACAAGUUCAACCCAAGCCCAAACCAUUGAACCCAAAUUUACUCAUCAUCUCACUCAAAUCUCUGUCACAACAAAAAUCAAUUGGAGAGACGAAGAAUCUGACAGAAAAAAUGGGGAGGAAGAAAGGAGUACAGUUCGAUGAAGGAGCACCCGAUGACUUCGACCCGAAUAAUCCGUAUAAGGAUCCGGUAGCUUUCUUAGAGAUGAGGGAGCAUUUGGUGAGGGAGAAGUGGAUCGACAUUGAAAAAGCCAAGAUCCUCCGUGAAAAGCUCCGUUGGUGCUACCGUAUCGAAGGUAUUAACCAUCUUCAGAAGUGCCGCCACCUUGUUCAGCAGUAUCUUGACGCAACCCGCGGUGUUGGGUGGGGCAAGGACCUUCGUCCUCCCUUUAUGCAUGGUCUCGCCUUUUGCUCAUUUAUUACUUGUUUGAGAUUUAAAGGUUUUGUUUUUGGUUUCUGAAUCUUAUGUAUUCGUUUGAUUUCAGGGCCUAAGGUGGUUGAAGCUGUUGAGUCCGAAUGAUUCUGUUAUCUUAGGUAUUUUUGAUUUCUCCCUUUUAUUAGAUUGGAAUUAUUAUCAAUUUCAGCUUCUAUGAGUCUAUUUGAAACUAUUUCAUUAAUAAUAGUCUAACCUAGAAAUAGAAACUUCAACGGAGGAAUCUGGGACUCUCCAGAGUGUUUGGUCAAAAUCUAGAAUCAUGAAAUGUGAGGUGGGAGUCAACUUAAUAAUAUUGCCAAUCUAUAACUAAUUAGACUAGAAGAUUCAAAAAUAUGAUUUGCACUAUCUUCAAAUCCAUGGCCAGUAUGAAUCUGUAAACUAGAAAUAUCUUAACUGAUUUAAAACACGUGACAUGCUAUUAUUGAUACUUUUGGGUUAUGUAUCACAAUAGUUAUAAUUCACUAUGCAUACCUCAUGAGUCAUGAGUGACUCUAUUUUUCAAUCUUUUGUGAACAUUGAUGCACAGCAUAUAUUAGUGAGGAUCACAUUUACUAUAGUCUGGCACUAUACCCGCAUUUUAGAUGCUGGCACAACAGUCUGAUCCUAACUUGAUCAGUGAGGUAUCUUUUUCCCUGUUUGUCCAUUACGAGAGCCUGAAGCCCUCCCGGUCAGCUAGGAGGGAUGCUGGCACAGUAUGAAUCUAAAGCUACACUAGCAGAAGCCGUAUCUGCUACUUCUUGUGAUAUCAACUCUUUUAAGGUAGCAUAUAUCAGCCCCCAAGGCCUAGCUCAAGUGGCAAAAGGUGGAAGAUUUGUGGCUUAGGUCGCAGGUUCAAGCCCCACAUCAUGCAAAGCGAAGCCCGGUAUUUAAGUGGAGAAGGGUAGAGGGGCGGGCCCAUUAUCCACCGAGUUUAGAAGGCUGUGAUUGGUCCAAAGGAUGGGUCACAGACGGAUUUCUCGGUUAUCAAAAAAAAAAAGGUAGCAUAUAUCAUCCAACAUCUUGCAACCUUCUUCCCAAAAACUCUUCUAGACUUAGGCAUGCAGCUUAAUAUCUAGCAUGUGAAGUACUUCAUAAUCUUGUAUAAGAAUCAUACAUCAACUAUAUUUUACUCAAAGCUAGUUAGUCUUGCUUCAAUUUCAAACAGGCUCAUCAAAGUACAUAUGCACUAUCAUAAACACUAUAAACCAUUAGCAUAACUCAUGAUUGCUGCUCAAGAUAAAGUAGGCAUUUACCCAAUCAUAUCCACAUCUUGCAUGUAGUUGUCCCAAUGCAUGCUUAUAUGUGAAGAGCAUACAUAUACCACUACUCUGGAAACAUAGAAUUCAAUAAUUCUUUCUAAAACAUGCAUAAAUCAAUUUGAUAUCAUACAUUUUGUUAUAAAACCAGUUAUGAGACAGAUUAUAGUAACCACAACUUCAAUCCCCGUUGGGCUCGACUCCAAAGCAUCUUUAAUGCUCUAGGAAACAAACAAUCAAAAUUUCAAUCAGAGUUGGCUCGACUCCAAUUGACUCAACAAGGGAAAAUAUUUAUUGAUCUAUGAUCAAACAAACUGUCAAAUUGGUCCCCUGUUAUAAUCCAUGCUUUAGCAUUUCAAUCUAUAUUUCAAGAGUCCUGUAUUUACAUUUAUGCCAGCUCUAACAUUCUAUCAAUCGUGAGUAGAUGAAAUCUAACUCAAAACUGUAAGAAUAAGAGUUAACUCUUACCUUAGGGCGCAUGAAGUCCUUAAUUCUUACCUUUGGGCUUAGGAAAUCACCAUUAAGCAAUGGGUUUCUUAAAUCUUCCAUUCACAGUGAUUGUUCCUUGCUAGUGACACACUACAAUGGCUUAGAAUGAAUCAGGACAUAGCUUUCCCUCGAUAUAAAGUAUUAAAAAAGAUAGCCAAAUUCCCUUACAGAUUCCAUGAAUCUGGUGCAUCUACCAGUAUGCUGUAGAUCCUUCAGGUUUUUGACGUUUUCAUAGGUUUACUGAGAAAGGAUAAACUUAACAGAGUAAAACUUCUGCAAAUGCACUAGAUUUCUCUUCCUUUCCUUAAUCUUUUGGUUCCAUCACAUUUGUUUUGUCAAUUCUUUCAUUGUAACUUAAAUUCAAUAUAGCAAGUUUAAUCCAUGCAUAAAAUCCAAGUCCACAACAUGUUUAGGAGUCGGGGUAUUUUUGGUGAUUCUGGUUUUUUCUGUGUUUUUGUAUGUACAGUAAUUGGAACUCAAAGUUAUUCAAAUUUUCAUCUGGAUUUUGCAAAUGAAGCUAAAGAAACUAGCUGCAAUACAAGUUUGACCUUGGUCACUUUGAUUGUUUACUUAUCUGUUCCUAUGAUAGCCCACCCACAAUAAUUCCCUUGAAAUUAAAAAAAUGAGGGGAAAGCAACAACCACAAAAAAACACAAGAAAUACAUUUGACAAUGUAGGUUAAAAUACUAAAAUGCUAUUUAUUAGAGGUAAAACUUUCUAGAUGAACUCUUUCCCUCCUUAAUCUUCCUGUUCCUUUAUCUAGCAAAGCUAUAUUAGUGUACAACUCCACUGUCAGUUGAAACCCUUUUUACCUUCUUGACACCUUUCACACCCUUGGCCAGAAAAUAUCAAGCUUGGCCUGACCAAUUGGAACAGUUAUUUAACUGGCUACACUUCUGAUAAUUGAGUCAUUUUUCACAAAAGCUUUCUGUAUUCUCUAGAAAAUUGCUGUCAUCUCCACACACUGACCUAUACUGAUGGUUAGGAGCAAAACUAGUAAAAGGGAGGUAGCAGUUUUAAAUUUUGAUAACAUUUUUAUUUUUAAUUCACCAUAUUUUGAGGUUAGUUUUAGUCCUUAUAUUCUAGUUCUCAAAACAUUGAAUCUUCCAUUUAAGGUAAAUUUCAUCCAUUUAGUGAAUGCAAUCAGCAAAAGUACAUGAGAAGUACCAUAUUUGGCUUCCACCUCCAUCCUCUUCCUUUGAUAUGGUCUAUGCCAUCAUAUCCCUCUUAUACACUCCGAUCUUGUCUUCAUCGCCUACAAGCAACUGCCUUCCUGGAUAGUUCACAGAGAGUUGAGUAGGGAUUCAUAAAGAAGCGAAGUGACUUAUUUGAAUAAGAUGUAGGUCGUUUGAGUAUAUAUGCAAUGGAAGAGGGACAAAGGCAAGUAAAAGAUUGAGCUUUUCAAUAUCCUAUCGAAAUUUGUUGAUUAUACUAGAGGAAGGACUAAAAUUGCUCCUCUUACAAAUUGAAGAUCAGAUAUAGUACAUGUAAUAACACAGGAAUUGAGAUUCUGUCGAAGAGGACUGGAGGUGUCACUAAACUUAGGAAUAUGAAAUAGAACCUUAAAAGAAUUACAAUAUCUUUCUGAUACCAUCAAUAGGUUCCUUAAGGCUUCAUAUCACCAUUCUGAGUCAUUUUAAGAAAUAAUGUCUUACAAUUGCCAUUGUGAUGGCUUCUUUUUGCAACGACAAUGCAAUAGCAAUGGCAAAGCAAGAUUCACUAGUCUUGUCAUGUACUGUUAUUAGGGAGAAAGAGGAUGAGCUUUAUUAAAUAAAAAGAGUAGCAGGAAUGAAAGAGGAGAGUUGCAGGAGGGGAAAUAACAUUAGAACAGACAUGGAUAUUUCAUUUGUAUAGUUACAGAACAAAAAAUAACGGGAAAUAAUGUAGUAUGUUAUGUUUCACGUCCACAUGAAUUUUUAAACCUUACUGAAACUAGAUUUAAAGGAGAAAGUAAAUGACAACAACAUGACCACAGGCUUACAUCAUUAAGAAACCGGUAGGCAUUAUGAAGGGUUGAUCGAGAGUUGACCAAGUUUGCCCAUGGGUUUGACCAACAUUGAUUAUGAGUUGACCACCAUUAGAGUUUCUAUGAUGAUUCAAGCAUGGUCCCACACGCCCCGCCAGCCUCACGACUCAUUUGGUCAUGUUAGGGCUUUUAUUAUUUUAAAGUACUUGGACUUGAGCCGGAACCCAUCAUUUAGCUAGUUAUACAUUUGAGGUGAUGUAGGGUUUUGCGGAGUUUUUGAUGAAUCAUUGAUGAAGAACUCUCUUGAGAGAGCAUGCCUUUGUGGGAAUAUCUUUAUCCUCUUCAAUUUAACCUUUUUUGGAUUCGUCUAGUAAGUGUUCAUGUAUGAGUUUAAUUUUUCUUCUUCUUUGGAUUGAUUUCUUGUAAUUGGAUUACGAAUUAGUAGGUUUAAGUAUAUGUUACUUGGCUUGACUAAUUAGCGAAUUGCUGCUUCUAUUAGAUUUUGUCCUAUCUUUCUUAAUCUAUCUCUAUCUUCUCAUCUCUUUCUAGUUUUUAAUUUCCUUGUGUUAAUGCCGUUCGGUAAAUAUCUUCUACUUUCAUAUUGUAUGGCUGGUGAGGUAGAGUAAAUAGUCUUGUGGAACAAAAUCAAGAAGUAGACCUUCUUCUUUCCUUUCUUUUCUCGAACCAAACAUGUUCUUGGAUAGAAUGGUUUCUCAACAAUCUGCUAGUUAAUGAGUAAAAGUCAGUUGGCAAGUUGAUGUGGGCUCAACAAAAAAAGAAGUCUAUUUGUUUGUCCAGUGAAAACUAUAUUUCAAAAUUAAUCUAUGCAAGUUGAAUAGUGAUAACAAAUUGGUUAGAGCUCUCAAACAUGUAUAAUUCGGGCGAAGAAUUGCAACUCAAAAUUCAUAUUGUAGGUCUGUUUUUAUGUUGUAGAUUUUAAUGAUCCAUGUUUUGGUACACAAACUCUUAUGCAAGUUCUUGACUUUGCAAUAUAUCCUGGUUUUUGUUGUACAUAUAAAGCUGUGUUCCCUAAGGUGUGAGAUUUCCCCUUUUUGCAGGUUUGUAUUUCCAGUUGAAAGUAUAAACUUCGGAGGUUGUUGGGCUUACCAACUAGUGAAUUUCAGUGUAUCGCUGCUUCUGUUAUUCACUGCUUAAGACCUGAUUUUUUAGUUUUCUGUCGUGUGAAAAACGACAAAUGGUUUGCAAUGGCUUUAACUUCAGCCUUGUAUCUUUUUUUUUUUUUUUGAGGGAACUAUAUUUCAUAGUGGAAAUAAAGGAAAAAACUCAUUGUCUUCCUUAUUGGUGUCCUGGUCUUUGUUCUAUGCUUCCUCUAUCUUGUGUGUAUUGUUAUUCAUUAGUCAUGAUUAUAGGCUGGUAUUUUGUAUUCUGUGCUGUUAUAUUGGAGCUCUUGAGAAAUGGAUACUUGGAACAUUUUGUUUGCCGCUAGGUAUUAGGUUCAAUAAUGUUCUCGAAGAGACUUAUAAAAUGGCUAGGUUUUGAACGAGGGAGGAAGCAGCUUGUAUCAACGUUGAUAGUGUCGGCAAAAUGAGUCCAUAGUUUGGUAACCUGCUCAACUCCCUCGUAUUUUAAUGGGUUGGGUGAGUGACGUUUUAGAUGAGUAAAAUUUUAACCCAUAGAAAUAUGGGUAUUCAUUGGUAAAUUAUGGGUUAGCCUACUGGGUUAAACUUUAAAGGCCAAAUCCAUCGGUGGGCCCCUAAAGUUGGCACCAAGUUUCACAUAGACACCUCAAUUGUGCGAUGUUUAUUUUAGACUCUUCAUGUAGGGUUUCGCUAUAUUCUUUUGACACUUUUUUACAACAAGAAAAAAGCUGAAGGAGAGUGUAAUACACUCGUGGAUGACGUGGCAAACAACGAAUUAAAUGAUUACAUGUGUUAUUUUAAGUUAAGAAUUAUUUUAAAAUCUAUUUAGUAAAUAAAAUAAAAAUAUUAUUCUAAAAAAAUCAAUUUAACCCCUCCCCCAUGGUAGUUGUCUUCUCUACUAUACCCAACAAUUUUCUUAAUUUUUUUUCUUAAUUUGCUCUUUAAAAUUGUUUUAGUUUCUUUUUUUCUUUCUAUUUUAGUGUUGUUUUGAGAGAAAAAGAAAGGAGGAGGAGGGAGACAAAGAGAGAAAGAAAGAAAAAUUAUAAAGCAUGAGUGUUGAUAUCCAUUUUUUCCAGCGAAAAAGGUGGAAUCGAAAAUCGUUUUUUUUCAUUACACUCUAUACCUCUUUUGUGCUCUUUUCUUUCUUUUUAGUGUUAUUUUGUGGGAAGAGAAGAAGGAGAGAUUAAAUAUGAAAUAUGGGUGUUGGUAUCCAUUUAUCCGGCAAACAAUGUAGAGGGAGGUGAUGGUAAAUUUAGAAAAGGAAUACAAUGAAGAAGAAAAAAAUGACUUAAAAACGGAUUUGAAUAAAAAAUUCGACCUCCAUUGAAGGAGUUUAAGCUUCAAAAAAUGGUGGGAGGUGAUGGUAAAUUUAGAAAAGGAAUAUAAUGAAGAAGAAAAAAAUGACUUAAAAAUGGAUUUGAAUAAAAAAUUCGACCUCCAUUGAAGGAGUUUAAGCUUGAAAAAAUGGUGGGAGGUGGUGGCUUGAAAAUUGGAGAAGAUGAAGAGAAAAUAAAAUAAAAAAUUGGCUAAAUUAAGCCUUUCAGGCGCUAUUGUUUAGUGUAUCACACUCACUUUGACAUGUCAGCAAAAAAUGUCAAAAUGACACAACGGGACCCUACAUGAGGUGUCUAAAAUGAACAUAGUGAAAUUUGGUGCCAACUUUAGGAAGACAUCGAUGAGUUUGGCCAACUUUUAACUUUUAUUCACCCAAAGUUCAUGAUAUCACUAAAAAUAUUGUAACUGUUUUUUUAUGUUCUAAUUAUUCUUCUCUAUAAUUGAAGAGGUAAAGUCUUUGACCCUCCAAAAAAGUAUAUACUAUAUUGCAUGUACAUUUCUUUUGUUAAUUAUAAUUAUAUUUUUUAUUUGUUUAAUUUUUGGAAAAUGCAUAAGUACCCCCCAACCUAUGCCUGACAUCUCAGAGACACACUUAUACUAUACUAAGGUCCUAUUACCCCCUCCCCCUGAACUUAUUUUAUAAAUAAUUUUCUAUCCAUUUUCGGCCUACGUGGCACUAUCUUCUUGGCCCAGCGCGUGUUGACAAUUUUUUCAAGCUAUCUGAUUGAUAGUGCCACGUAGGCCGAAAAUGGAUAGAAAAUUAUUUAUAAAAUAAGUUCAGGGGGAGGGGGUAAUAGGACCUUAGUAUAGUAUACGUGUGUCUCUGGGAUUUCGGGCAUAUGUUGGAGGGGUACAUAUGCAUUUUUCCUUUAUUGGAUAACAAAUAAUAGUGCAAAGUUAGCGAAUCAUGUAUUAGUAUUGAUAUUGCGUAAAGUUCCUCAAGCACUUUUUACUCCUAAGAUGUAAAUAUUCAUUUACUUUGAAAUUGAAAAUAUUUUUUCCUUGUUAUUACAUAAAUUUAUUUUAUAUUGAAAAUUUAUAGGGAUUUUUUUUACUUUGAUAAUACAAUAAAACUAAAUAAAGUAUUUUCAACAUUUUUUCAUCUUAAAAAAAAACUAAAACAUUUUAUCCAUGUUUAAUUCUAAAAUAAAGUACUAUUUGUUCAUGGAAAUAUGAAUAAAUAUGAAUAAACUUGUAUUUUACCCAAUCUAUUUGUUAUCCAACCCAUUUUUACCCAUAUGAGAUAUGAAUGAAUUGAAUUAUUACCCAUUUUAUAUUGACCCAUUUUCAAUCCGUCAAAAUUUUACCCAACCCACCCAUUUGCCACCACUAACCAACCGUAAGUAACAGAAACUAAGCAGUACACUUUUUUUCUGUUGGGCUGAACUUUCAGAAAAAAUUGCCACUCAGGUGCAAUACUAAUUUAUGGAACGAUAGAUAUGUUCAAGUUUUACCGCAGCCAUAUUGUCCGGUUAUACGCUUAGUGCAUCAUUAUAGAAGUUUAAGUUUUGUCUAUGAGAAAAGACAUCAAGUCACCAUUAAAGUUGUCCUGUAUUUGUAUAAAAAUACCUUAACUUUGGAAGUAUCCUAUGACCCCACAGAACUAUUUAAUAUUUUAUAAAUGGGCCAUUUUGACCCAUUCCCUCGUCUGUGUUGUCGCGCGUGAUGCUCGAUAGAAUUCAACCCGGCCCGAUCCUAUUCUUUUCAAGAAAAGUCGUCUUCUUCUUUUCUUUUCUUAUUUCUCAACUUCCCCUAAAAUCUCAAAGAAUAGAAAAGUCUUCUCGACAUCUUGGUGUUGAUAAUCUCGUUGUUGAUGUUUCUUGGUGAAGAUUCUUGGAGGGACAAUGAAUUGAAGGUCUAAAAGGUUAGGGCUCUACAUCAUAUGAUAAAGAUCUUCUUUUUUUAGAUUAUUGUGAUUUUAGGGAUUAUUAUAGUGUAAAGAGUGUUGGAAUCGACCUAUUAUAGUUGCCAUUGUUAGGAUUUUAUAGUUUUUCGUUGUGUUAUUGAGUAAUUGCUACUGUUAGAGUUUUGUGUUAUCGACUUAGUGAAACUGUUAGUGAUUAGGAUUUUGUGUUAUCGACUUAGUGCGACUAUUAGUGAUUGUGUUUUAGGUUAGGGUUUGAUGCUAUCCACUUAGUUUGAAUCUUAUUAUUCGUGUCUUAUACAUUUGUAGACUUCAAUUUAUACAUUAUCGACUUGUUUACAAGUCUUUUGUUCUGUUAGUGAUGGGGCUAAAUGUUAGUGCUAUUGCUACUGUUAGUGCCUUUUCUACUCUUGUUAGUUAGUGUUUCUGCUACUGUUAUUUGUUAGUGAUUAUGUUUGUCGUGUACAGCUUGUUAGAGUUUGUUCUUGAAACGUGUGUUUGAAUUGUGUUUGUCUUUUUUACAUGCCUUUGCAGGAUGGCUUUUACUUUGAUAACUUUAAGUUGGUAUCAUGGGGGGUUAAUAGAAUUUGGUCCCCCACCUAAAUAUAUUGGAGGGCAUGUGACAGAAUUCCUAGAUGUAGAUAUUGAUAGGAUGUCUUAUUUUGAGUUGAGAGACUACAUAAAGGAACUAGGAUAUACAAUAGAUUGUGAGUUUUUCAUUAAGUGGGAUGAGUUAUUGGUUCUUGUUGAUAAUGAUAAGGUUAUAUUGACAUUUUCAAUAUGAUAAAUGAUGGGGAUACAGUUGAGGUGUAUGUUUUUCAUGGGGUUAGUGAAGCUAAUCAGGCCCCACUUGAAUUGGAGUUUGUCCCCAAUGUGAGUGAUAGUGGGGUAGGUGAGGAAUCUUUCAAUGAGACUUCUAACCCUAAUAAUCAGCCUCCUACUUCUACUUUUCCUUCCAACCCUAAAACUGGUCCUUCAGAAACUUCCAGCACUCGAUUUGAAGAUCCUCCUACUAUUGUGCCUCCACUAUCUCCUUCUUCUACUGUGCCUCCACCAUCUCCUUCUACCGUGCCUCCACCAUCUCCUUCUUCCACUGUGCCUCCACCCUCUCCUUCUACUGUGACUCCUCCUUCCUGUGUACCUUCAUCUGAUCCUAUAAUAGAUAAUGAUCCAAUUGAUGAUGAAGUGGAAGAUGAAUCAGGAUCUGAAGGGUAUAAUAAUGAAGAUACUGAGGUUGAAAGUGAUGUCCAUCAAGAGUAUAUAGAUAUAAGGGAAAGCAAGAGUCAUUUCAAAGGGUCACAAAGGAGAAGUAGAGGUACUACUUCAGAUCAGAUUAAUGUUGAUGAAAAGGGUCCAAAUAUAGGGUAUGAUGAGACAAAUAUUGGUAUUAGGAAAAGCUUAGUUGGUACGCUAGGAGGUGAUGAAUCUUACUAUCUAAGUGAUGAAGCUCCUAGCUUUGAAAUAGAUGAUAAAACAGGUUGGGGAGAUGGUGAAGAGGUUGAUCAAGUAGUGCAUAAACCUGUUAGAAGGAAGAAAACCCCAAAUAGAGUUGUGUUUGAUGAAAUUUCUGAAAAGGUUGUUUGGGAAUUAGGACUAGUUUUCAGAAGUGUUGAUGAAUUUAAAGUGGCAGUGACAAGAUAUGCAGUUCAAGAACAUAUUCAUAUUAAAAAAUAUGUGAAUGAGCCUGGCAGAGUUAGAGUGAGAUGUUGCAACCUUACCUUAAUAAAGGAAGAACUUAAGCCUUUCUUAAAAAUAAAAAGCCCUAUGAUGAGCUAACUUGGCUUGGUGCAGGAAAUGGAAUCACAGCAAGAAAGAAGGCCAGGAGAGAUAGCAUACUUUCCUUUUUUAGGAUUUCUACCCGCGGAUGACUGAACUACCACGACUCUCGCUAACUGCAUCGGAUUCUUUGGAUAAAAGAAGACUAGCUUUUAGAGUGGAUUCCUUCCCUAAACUAAAGAAUUUACUUACCUUAAGCCGGUAUCUUUCCUUGGUUGUUGUGUGCAAGUAAGUAUAAGACUGGUGGAGAUUUCAUAGUUAAAAGAUACAACCCUGUCCAUAAAUGUUUGACAUCAACUCAUAACUAUCUUUGCAACUCAAAGUUUUUGGCCACCAAAUACAAAGAAAGAAUAACUCAAUAGCCAAACAUCAACAUUGUGUUGUUGCAGGACAUUAUUAGAAAAGAGUUGGAUAUCCAUGUUGGUAGGACAAUAGUGAGAAGAGCUAGGACUAGAGUGUUACAAGAGAUCAUGGGUGAUCACAUUGUGGAGUACGGUAAGAUCUUUGAUUAUAAAGAUGAGAUUUUAAGGAGUAAUCCAUGUAGUACUUGUGUAGUGAAGGUUGGAGAAGAAGAUGAAAUUGGGAAGAAAAUUUUUCAAGAAUUUUAUGUUUGCUUCAAUGCUUUAAAGAAAGCAUUUUUUGAGGUGCUAGGAAGUUGAUUGGUUUUGAUGGGUAUUUUCUCAAAGGUGUGUGUAAAGGCCAGUUGUUAGUGACAAUUUGUAGAGUUGGAAACAACCAAAUGCUGCCUAUUGCUUGGGCAGUUGUUGAGGUUGAGAAUCAGUUUACCUGGACAUGGUUUCUUGAACUAGUGAGGAAUGAUCUUGAUCUUGGAGAAGGGCAUCAAUUAUCUAUUAUUACUGAUAUGAAAAAGGUAAGACCUUUAUUGUCUUAUUGUUUGAUUGUGUUUUUUUUUUAUGUUUUUAAUUUUGCAUUUUAAUUAUGUUUCUGUUAUGUUGCUUUGUUAGGGACUAGAAAUUGUUGUUUAGGAGGUAUUGCCACUGGUUGAACACAAAAAAUGUGCAAGACAUGUUCUUGCAAAUUGAUGUAAAAGAUGUAAAGGAAUUGAAAGAAGAAGAGUAUUUUGGAGGAUUGCUAAAUCCACAUUUGAAGCUGAGUUGAAGGAUAAUAUAUAGGCAAUGAAGAAAUUAGGAAAAGAAUGUUUGGAUGAUCUUUUAUGGUACAACUUGGAUACAUGGUGCAAGAGGUAUUUUCAGGACUAGCAAAUGUGAUGUUGUGGACAACAAUAUGACAAAAAGCUUUAAUGCUUGGAUACUGCCUGCAAGGUAUAAAACAAUCAUCACAAUGCUUGAGGAGAUAAUGGUGAAGAUGAUGAAAAGAAUUGGUGAUUUGAGAGAGUUCUUAAACACUUGGAUCACUGAUAUAUCUCCUAUGUCUUUGAAUAUUUUGCAAGAAAAUAUUGAAAAGUCUAUGUAGAGUUGUCAAAACGGGUCAGCCUAGCCCUACUCCGCCCAAGCCUCGCAGGCCAAAGAAUUUGAUGGGCUGGGGCGGGCCGGGCCUUCAUUUCAAAGGGCGGUAAAAUGGUCAACCCGGCCCAAUCCCAAAAGGGUCAAGGGCUGGGGCGGGUCGGCCCUCUUUUUUUUUUAUGUCAAAUCAAUGUCACAAACAGUAACAUUGUUUCAAUAAUUCUAAAUAAAAUCUAGCAAUAAAUAUUUAAAGAAAAAAUAAAUAAUCCCUUAAGUAAAUAAUAUUUGAAAAACAAACUAGUAAACUAAAGAAUACUUUUGACUAAAACUUUAGUUAGCAAUACAUAAUUACCUAAAGUAUUUUGUUAAAUGAAAUCAAGAAACUAAUUAAUUGUUCAAGCCAUUAAAAAAUUCUAUCACAUAUAAUAUAAAUAGUGUUUACUAUCCAAGUCUUAUAUUCAAAACUAAAUAAUAAAGAAAUUCAUGAGGUAAUCUCUUUAGAAAAACUCCACAAACACUUAUUUAGGUUUUCUAGUUUUUUAUUCUUAUUUUUUAAAUAUUUAUCUUAAUUAAAAUUAAAUAAUUUGGCCCAUGGGCCGACUCUGACCCGACACCGAUCAAGCCUCAAGGGCUAAGGGCCUAAAAGGGUUGGGCUUAUAAGCCCCGAUUUUAAACGGGCUUGUAAAAUACUAUCCCAACCCUACCCCAAUAACGGGUUGGGUCGGGCCAACCCCAUGGACUAAGCCCUUUUUGACGGCUCUAAGUCUAUAUAAUGUAACUAACUUGGAAUGGAGAAAGUGGUUUUGAGAUUUAAACACUAUGGAUUUACACAUAUUGUGGACAUUGUUAGUAGGAGUUGUAGUUGCAGAUCUUGGCAGCUCAGGGGCAUUCCUUGUCCUCAUGGUGUUGCUGCCCUUCAUUACAAGGAGUUGGAACCAAUCAAUUAUGUGGCUAGUUGUUAUAGCAAGGAGACCUACCUCAGCACAUAUGCCCAUUUUAUUCGGCCAAUGAAUAACAUGAAAAUGUGGCCAACAUCAAAUAAUUCAAUUAUAAAGCCACCAAAGAUCAAGAAGAUGCCUUGAAGACCAAGUAAGGUUAGAAUAAAUGAAGCAAAUGAAAGUAGAAAAAUUGAAAAGCUUAGCAAAAGUGGUGUUGUUAUGACGUAUAGCAAAUGUGGUACACAAGGACACAAUCAAAGAGGCUGUCCUACAAGAAAUCAAGUUGGUCCAAGUCAAUUAGCUGAACCAUCUUCUCAGGCAAGAGGUACUGGUCUAAGUCAGUCAGCUGAACCAUCUUCUCAGACACAUACUUUUAUUUGUUACUUUCAAAUGUAAGUUAUAUGUACAUGUAUAUGUAUUGAUAUAUCAAUAUACAGGCUACUAAAAGAGCAGCAGGAGGCAGAGCAAGAGGUAGAUCAAUAGUUCAACUCAAUCACCUGGAGCUUCUUCACAUGUAUAUAUAUUCAUUUGUACAAGAUUUAGUUGUAAUUCCAUGCACUGAUGUGUGAAAAUCAGGCCACCACAAAUAAUGAACGUGGUAGAGGAAGAGGCACAUAAAGAGUUUCAAGUUCUAUAGACAAUAUAGAUAUGCUUUAAUAUUUGAGUUUCAAAUUACAGACUUUUAAUGGUAGAGGUAGAGUUAGAGGUAGAAGAGUAGGAACAUGUAGAGGAAGAGGAAUGCCUCAAGAAAGAAAUGUGAAUGAAGGACUAUGUAGACGAAGAGGAAUGCCUCAACGUAGUCAAACUAGUUCUGAAGCAAGAGGGAAGAGACCAGUUGAACAUGAGGACACCAGUGGAGGACAAACAAGAGCUUUUAAAAGGCCAAGAAUGGUAGGUGUUGGCAUAUACCAAGCUGAAGAUGGAUUUACAACUCUCAAUGUAAGUUUACAACUUUCAAUGCAAGCCUAAAUGUCUUUUGAUUUGAAUAUGUAUUUAUUUGACUAAGCAACCUGGAUUGUCAAGUAGAAGAGUCAUCAAUACUGGUAUAAGAGUGACAAAGAGGGCUGAUGUUGUUACUGGUGAUAUUGGCUACACACCAGUACGUCGAUUCAAAUGGAAGGGGAAGACAACUAUUACCAGUACCAACCUAGAAAGAAUGAGGGCUGAAAAGGUUAUCCAAACUAGGUCUGCAGCUACUGCUACUACUAAUAGCCAAAGCCAAACAAGUUCAAGUAGGAAGACUCAUGUGCCAUGGAAGUAGGGCAUUUUGAUGUUGUCUUGUUCAUUUUGACAAACAAAUUUUAAUUAUGUAUAUUUUUGUGUUGUUUUUGGUUGGAAUCAAACUCAAUUUAGCGUGUACAAAACAAGAUCAACUUGAUAGCAAUACUUCAAAUUGAAUGAUUAUGUUGGAAUUAAGUCCUCUUUUUGAUUAGUUUUUUUGUUGCUUUUAGCUAUAUUCUUCUCAUUUAUUUGUAGUUGAACAUAUUUUUGAAGUUUCUCAAAUGGUUACCACAAUAAUAUAAACAACCAAAUACAUUAACAACUUGUUCAAAUCAUAAUUAUUUCGACAUCAAAGACCAACAAAAACUUGAGCAUUCGACAAAGCAAGAUCAAGACAAUUAGCUUCAAGUUACACACAUCUACAACUUCAAAAACUUGAAAGUAACUAAACAUGUAUAUGGCAAUUUUGGCUGCACACACCUACAACUUUCAUCCUUCACAUUCUUGGUUAGGCUUAAAAAUAGAAAACACACAAUAACGAUCAAGACAAUUAGCUUCAAGUUACAACAUAUGCUCUUCUUCUUCUCCUUCAUCACGACUUGGUUACUUUCAACACGACUUUCAUAAUGUGCCAAUGCUUUUUCCAACUCCUUAAUUCUCUUUGCCAAUCUCAGAAUAACGUAUUUGGAUCGUAUAUCAACAUCUUCACGAUCCCUCCAUCUAAAGAAGUUGCAUGCAUCCUCCUAAAAUACGUAAAAACACAAAUUAAAGAAAAAUGCAUAAAUAAAAGUUCUCCAGAAAAGAAUUAGGAAACAUACAUGAUAGUGUGUACAAAACCAAAAUCUUCGAGCUGGAUUGUGCUCCGACCAUGAAGUUUGCAUUGAAAGUAAAUCACCAUGUUUGCAUCGCAAUUUCACUCGCGAAAUCGGAUCAUUCUCAUCAUUACAAAUACAAUUCAACAUUGCAUUUGCCAUUUUCGGUCAAAUUUAAUCACAAAAUUAAGAAAAAAUUAAACCAUAAAAAACUUCAAAUUAUUAACGCUUUCUACUGGAAAUUAAAAGAUAAAACAAAUUCCUACCUUAUUAGACUUGGGGUAAACAAUAAAUUCGUCAAAGAGAGAGCACCAACGUUGAGCUUUGCUUUGGAAACAAAGUUGAAAUUGAUUUUAGGGCAACCAACGACUCUUUUCUCUUUAAAUUUGGGGAAGAUGAUGUAAUUUAAAUUAAUUAAAUAAUUAAUAAUAAAGAUAUUAAAUAGUUCUGUGGGGUGAUAAGACACUUCCAAAGUUAAAGUGUCUUUAUGCAAAUAUGGGUAAACUUGUAUUUUAUUCAACCUAUUUUUACCCAUAUGAGAUUGGACGGAUUUAAUUAUUACCCAUUUUAUAUUGACCCAUUUUUAACUCGCCCAAAUUUUAUUCAACCCACCCAUUUGCAACCACUAACCGUAAGUAACAGAAACUAAGCAGUACACUUUUUUUCUGUUGGGCUGAACUUUCAGAAAAGUUUGCUACUCAGGUGUAAUACUAAUUUAUGGAACGAUAUAUGUGCAGGUUUUAGCGCAGCCAUAUUGUCCGGUUAUACACUUAGUUCAUCAUUAUAGAAGUUUAAGUUUGUCUAUCUAGAUUUGUUUGCCAUAUUGUCCGGUUAUACACUUAGUUCAUCAUUAUAGAAGUUUAAGUUUGUCUAUCUAGAUUUGUUUGCCAUAUUGUCCGGUUAUACACUUAGUUCAUCAUUAUAGAAGUUUAAGUUUGUCUAUCUAGAUUUGUUUGCCAUAUUGUCCGGUUAUACACUUAGUUCAUCAUUAUAGAAGUUUAAGUUUGUCUAUCUAGAUUUGUUUGGAUCAAUUAUAUAUCAAGAAUAUGAGCGUACAUGACUGGAUUCGUUUUAGUUUUUUAAAUAUCAAAUUAAAUUAUUUGUGUCAAUUUUUUAAAUUUAUAAAUCAAAUCAAACUAAUAAAAUUUGGGAUUUUUCAAUCUCGGGUUGGUUCAGAUUUUUCAAAUAUCAAACCAAAUUAUUUGUGUUGAAUUUUUAAAAUUUUAAAUCAAACCAAACUAAUAAUUUUUGGAUUUUUCGGUAAAGUAUUCACACAAACAUAUAAUUAACUUGUGCUUCAAAUGUUUCUUUAGUCCAAUCAAAAUACAACUAUCUAAGGCGUUUCUUAAGAAAAUAACACAAAAUAUGAUAUAAGUGAUGACACUAAAAUAUUCAAUAAAAAAUAAUAAAGAAAUCGUAUAAAAUAAAUAUCGCAAAUUGAUAAGUCAUAACGAAAAUGAUCAUAAUUUAAAAGUACUAAAUCAUGCUAAAAUAAGUCUACUACGUAUUAAUUACAUUAAACAUUAAAAAAUUAGGUUAUGUGUUUUAAAUGUCUAAACCAAUGUAAAACUAAAGAACAAAUAAUCAACAUUAUUGUCAUUCUUAGUGUUGAAUUAAUUUGUUUUGUUAGCAUUAGUGUGAUUAGAUUUUUAAUUGAACUUUAUUAGAGUCACUAAUAUCUAUGGACUAUAACCUUCAUUGCAUUAUUCAAAAUUCGAAAUCUCAAAAGACUUGAAAAAGUAUGUUAAAAGAUAAAAAUUAUGAAAAGUUAUAAGUAAUAUUUAGAAAUUACAUCAAAGUAAAUAGUUUUAUGUAUAAAGUAAAUUUUAAAAAUAAAAUAUAUAAUGUCGGGUUGGUUUUGUUCGGGUUGAUUUUUUUUUAGUUAAAACCAGGGGUGGAUCUAUUAAGACCCGUGGGGUGCCACGCCACCCACAAGUUUCGACCGAAACUCUAUUUAUAUAUAGGUAUUUAUAUACACCAUUGUAUAAAUAAUAAACGUGCCACCCAGUAAACAAAAGUAUUCUCUGGUGCCAGUGGUAGGGGAUCUGAUUUUUGUGUCUAAGUUCGCGGGAUCAAACCCCACAAACAGCUUUUUGUUUUAAUUUUUUUUCAAUUGCAGGCUGCCUUCUUUUUAUUUUGUUUUUUUUAACUGCAGUGUUUCUUUUUUAACCUACAAGCACAUGCUCUUUUGUUUUUUUGCUUGUUUUUUUACUUGUUAACUUAUUAUUAUUAAGUAUUAAUCAAUAAUUUUUUUUAACUAAUUUAAUUUAACUUUUUGACUUUUAUUUUAUUUGAUUAAACAUAAAGAUUACUUUUUUCUCUUCACCAUUGAAACCUUGGUUGUUCCUUUAAACUUUUCAACAACAAAAAUCUGCCAUUAAUCAAAGCUUCAGCCUCAGCCUUCAGUCCGUCGCCCAAUCCUGCUCACCCAUCCGUCCAUAAGACGAAUAAUUAUAUUUGAAUCUAAAGUUGAUUUAAUCUGAGUCUACUGAUCAUUAGAGGCGAAUUCAAAAUUUGAAGAUUUUGGUGCAUCAAUACUUCUUAAUUUAGUUAGUUAGCGAAACUUUUACUACAAUUAACGAAUAAUGUAGUAUUUGCUUGGUCACUAAUGACUCAAAUAUGAGCUCUAAGCUAAACUUAAAAUAAAAAUAAUGAAAUAGGGUUCUAGCUAGAUUUGAACUGUAUUCUCGCGAGUGGUUCCUCUGGCUUGUACCAACUACACAAGGGUACCCCUACACUUCUUAUAGGUGCACCGUUGAUUAUACGUUUCUCAAGCACGUUUUUUUCAAAGUUAACGUGUGCACCCCUAUCAAAUCAUGUGGGUCCGCCUCUGCUUGGCACCCAGUGACUCGAAAUCCUAGAUCCGCCUCUGGUUAAAACCAAACCAACCCAAGUAUAAUCGGGUUUUCUUUUCCAAUACCAACCAAGUCAAACAAAACUAUUAGUCGAAUGUUUUUUCCGAUUUGACUCUAUUUUCAAUUUAGUUCGAUUUUUGGUUCAAUUUUGUACACAUAACUAGUUAAGCUCCUCUUCAUCAAAUGCUAAUAGCUAGGGAGUCUCAGAUGAUUUCAUAAGGAUCAUAAGCAAGCUCUUUAUACCAUCACAACAUAUCGUUUCCAUUUGUCAGUGUAUAGAGUUACUUGAUAGCUUUGCUUGUGAGAGACAAUGAAUACUUGGUGGAAUAAUCAAGAAGCGUACAAGCUAAGUCGAAUAACACCUUUAUAAAACAAAAUGCCUUUAUAUGUUGAAGAAUGAAGAAACAUAGUGAAAAUGAUCAAUUUUUAUACAAAAUAUGAUGAGAAGACCAGAAAAGGCUGAAGAGGAAUAAGAGAAAAUAAUUGAUUGCUUUUUGCAAGAAAAUAUGAUGGGAAGAUUGGUGAGGAUUGAAGAGGAAUAAGAGAGGAGAACCUUACAAAGAAGACUAGAGCUCUCUGGCAUAUUCAAAAUAUAUAUCUUAUUUUUGGUUUAUAGUUUCAAAAGAGAUAUUGAUAAAAUAAUUCUUCAAAAUAUCAUAAUCUUAAGGAGAGCAAAUCAGUCCAAAUAUAUAUAUAUAUUUUUUAUCAUAAAAAGAGUAUAAAAUAAUUGUUACGAAAAAGUUAAAAUUGGAAAGGUAGCAAUAUUAUCAUUAUCUAUAUUUAUCUAUCUCUCUAUAUCUAUAUCUUCUUUAUAUUAAUAUUAAUAUUAAUAUUAUAUUAAUAUUUUAUUUUAUUUAUUUUUAAUUUUAAUUUUAAUAACUUAAAAACAUAAACUCCUAACUUGAAUGUUAAAUUACUUUAAUAUUCCUAACUUAGGUUGUAACUUUUUCGAUAAGUUGUGUCUUUAUUCAAAGAGUUGUGACUUUUCGAUGAGUUAUGAAUUUUCCAAAGAGUUGUGACUUUUUCAAUAAGUUUCUUUUCCAAAGGGUUGUGACUUCUCGGAAAUGUCAUGACUUUUCAGAUAAGAUGCAGAAACAAUUGUUCAUACUACCCUUUGUUGACUAUAAAUAGAGGGACUUCCUCUCAUUUUUCAACCACAAAUUUUUUAAUCUUCUACUCUUCUUUUUCUUGCAAUUUAAAAUUUUUUGUGUGAUUUAUUAUCGUUGAGUGAGUUUGAAAUUUAGCAGAAUACGAGGUACCACUAUUCUGACGAAGUAAAUGUUUUAUCCUAAGAGGGUAUAUUCCAUAACCUCGAGUACUUGAUGAAAAUAAUUUUGAUGAUAUAAUAAUUAUUUUUUACUUAAUAUAUACAUUAAUAUGUAAUGUUCCAAUAUAUAAAGUUAACAUGAUGUAGUCUAAAUUCAUUUAUUUUUGUUAACAAUUUCUCUUGUGAUGUAGAUAUAUGUUUAUGAAUAUCUUUCUCCAAAAUUUAGAGAAUUUUCACAAUUUGUUUUUUUUAUGCUCAAGACAAAAGAAUGACUUUAUUUAUCAAUGCUACUUAAUGUCAUUUAGAUUGUCAGGAAGUUUGCUUCAAAAUAGUUAUUACUAUAUAAACAUGCCCUUUUAUUCAUAUGACUUGUAAUAACACCAAUUGACGUUUGUCUUAGUUUAUUUUUUAUUAUUUAUUUAAUAGCUAAUUUUUAUGAGAUAAAUAUUUUCAGUAAUGCAAAUAUAUAUUUAUAUUUGGAUAGGUAUUUGUAUUUAAUUUAAAGUAUUAUAUAGAGAAAAUAGCCUAAAGUCCCCCUAAUCUAUUGUCGAAUUCUCAACUACACACUUAGACUUCACGGGGGUCCUAUUACCCACCUGAACAUUUUAAAAGUAUAAUAUAUACCCCUUAAAAACUCACACCUAGAUUUGUAUCAAAAAGUAAGUGACACGCGCUUACCACGUAAUUUACCUUUUAAAAAAAUAAAAAAAUAUUAUCUUUUCCUUUAUUCUACUUUUCCUUUUAUAUUAUCCUUCUUUUCUCUUUCCUUUCUUGCUCCUUUUUUUCUUUACUUUGACCAAAUGAUUUUUCAAAUUAGCAAAGCAAGCUUAAAUUUAGAAACCAUUGAGUGAAAUUUUCUUCAUAAACCUUCUUAACAUCAACUGAAAAUUCAUCAUGAUUCUUGUUUAAAAAAACAAAAGAAUUUAAAAAGGAUCGAUUAAUGAUAAAAGGAUUUACCCUUUAAUGUUGUUUGGUAGGAUAUGCAAUGAAUGAGUUGCAUGGAAAAUUAGUGAUGAACACAAAAAAGAGUGAUAGUGUUCAAUAUUUGGAGACUUCAAAGUUUGAUUUUUCAAAGUGAAUUUUGAAUUUUGGUUGAACUUAUUGAGAGCUUAGUAACUUUAAAAAUGAACACGGCGGUUCACGAUGGAGGUAGAUGACGAUUGAUGUCGCGAUAAUUAUGUACGGUGGUUGGGUCAUAAUAAUACAACUAAGGAAACUUAUAAAUUUCACUCAAGGGUUCCUAAAUUUCUCCAUUAAUGACACUAAAAUUUGAUCCUCUUGAAUUUCGAUUUUAAGCUACUGUCAAUUUUUCACACUAAUGAAAAAUUGAUCUAACAUGAAAAAAAAUGUGAUUUGAGGAUGAAAAUUAGAUUAAUGGUGGGAAGCUGACGAGGGCGGCGACUUGGUGGUGGAGCUGAGUUACCGCCGGUGUUGCUCCGGUGAAGAGAAAACAAAAAGAGAAAAAAGGUCAAAAAAGAAAAAAUAAAACAAAAACCGAAAGGAAACUUAAAAAUUUUAAAAACAAAAUAAAACAAAAACGGAAAGAAAACAGAAAAUCAAUAUAAAAUAAAAAUACAAUUUUAAAAUUAAAGUUUUAAUUAUUAUUUUUACCUCUCACUCUCUCAAAGAGAGUGAACUACACUUUCUUUGCCACCUUAUCAUUUAGGGAGCAAAUAAUUCCACUUUAAAAUUGUUGAAGGGGGUAAUAGGACUUCCGUGAUGAAUACGUGUGUAGUUGAGAAUUGGGUAAUAUAUAUAGUUUAGAGGGACUUUUGGCUAUUUUCCGUAUUAUAUAUGUCACGAAUGUAUUUUCAAGUUAAUAAGAUCUUCUAACUUCAUAAUAUAUUAUUUUAAAAUAUUUCAAGUUAUUUAAAAAAAAAAAACUCACAACAAAUGUGAAAAAUAUAUGAAUAUAUAUGAAUCAUCUAAAAUUUAUCAUUUACAAAAUAAAUUUUAUAUUCAAUAAUAUGGAAUAAACAUUUACAUUUUGUCCCUACACUAAAUUAAAAUCUAAUAACUAUAUAAAAAAAUAGUAACAUUAAUUAAAAGUCCUAUUUAUUUAUGUAAGUAUAAAAUUUAUUAGAAAUUCAGCUCUUGCGCAUUAAUUAUUUAGUUAUAACAUUAUAAAUUCUCUUAGUUAUUACCAAUUAUUGCAAACAUUGUUCACAAUAUUUUACAUUCUUACUUAUAAUAUUAUGAAUUCCAUAGUAAUUACAUUAAUUAUUAUUAUUAUUAUUAUUAUUAUUAUUAUNNNNNNNNNNNNNNNNNNNNNNNNNNAUCUCUCCUUAUAUUAACUUUUGACCAAUAAUUUUUCAUAUUAUUAUAUCGCCCCUAUAUAUGUGAUAACACGGUAUUGUUAUUUUUCAAUUGACGAAUCAUUCUUGGUUGAAUAAAUUGAAAGGUAUAUGAAUUAUAUCUUUGUUGGGUAUAAGAUGAACAUGUGAUUAUAUAUAUUAUUUCACAAAUAGAAUAUAUUCUUUAAUUUUAAUUUUUAGUUUUUCCAGUAAAAAAAAAAGGAAACCUUUCUCAGUUAACUAUGGACAGUCAAAUAACUAUCUAUAAUUUAUGUACACAGUCAAUCAAGAAGUCAAAUAUGAGAGCCAACAACAAGAACAUCAUCUAUUAUGUUAUACCUUAUCAAAAUAAAAAUUAAUAUACAAAAAUUAUUUCUAAAAGAUAAAAUGUAGUUGUUCUUUCACAUGUUCAUAUGAC